This 328-nucleotide ribosomal RNA is filed under the name uncultured eukaryote. Its description in RNAcentral is "partial 18S ribosomal RNA". It matches the Rfam family "Eukaryotic small subunit ribosomal RNA", at positions 1470 to 1795 of the family's 1831-position model. The record is from RNAcentral.
CCCUUAGAUGUUCUGGGCCGCACGCGCGCUACACUGACGGUGGCAACGAGUUUUUCCUUCGCCGAAAGGUGUGGGUAAUCUUUUGAAACAUCGUCGUGCUGGGGAUAGAUCAUUGCAAUUUUUGAUCUUGAACGAGGAAUUCCUAGUAAGCGCGAGUCAUCAGCUCGCGUUGAUUACGUCCCUGCCCUUUGUACACACCGCCCGUCGCUACUACCGAUUGAAUGGUUUAGUGAGGACUCCUGAUUGGCGCCGCCGCCCCGGCAACGGAGCAGCGGACUGCCGAAAAGUUGUUCAAACUUGAUCAUUUAGAGGAAGUAAAAGUCGUAAC